AUCCAGCUGAUGAGUCCAAAAUAGGACGAAAUAUACGCGUUAUCCUGGAU
This 50-nucleotide non-coding RNA is filed under the name Trichobilharzia regenti. The record is from RNAcentral. Lineage: Eukaryota; Metazoa; Platyhelminthes; Trematoda; Strigeidida; Schistosomatidae.